UUGACGGGACCGCACAAGCGGUGGAUGAUGUGGUUUAAUUCGAUGCAACGCGAAAACCUUACCCACCUUUGACAUGGCAGGAAUCCCGAAGAGAUUUGGGAGUGCUCGAAAGAGAACCUGCACACAGGUGCUGCAUGGCUGUCGUCAGCUCGUGUCGUGAGAUGUUGGGUUAAGUCCCGCAACGAGCGCAACCCUUGCCAUUAGUUGCUACGAAAGGGCACUCUAAUGGGACUGCCGGUGACAAACCGGAGGAAGGUGGGGAUGACGUCAAGUCCUCAUGGCCCUUAUGGGUAGGGCUUCACACGUCAUACAAUGGUCGGUACAGAGGGUUGCCAACCCGCGAGGGGGAGCUAAUCCCACAAAGCCGAUCGUAGUCCGGAUCGCAGUCUGCAACUCGACUGCGUGAAGUCGGAAUCGCUAGUAAUCGUGGAUCAGCAUGUCACGGUGAAUACGUUCCCGGGUCUU
This 465-nucleotide ribosomal RNA is filed under the name uncultured Allobrachymonas sp. Its description in RNAcentral is "bacterial SSU rRNA". It matches the Rfam family "Bacterial small subunit ribosomal RNA", at positions 910 to 1382 of the family's 1533-position model. Lineage: Bacteria; Pseudomonadati; Pseudomonadota; Betaproteobacteria; Burkholderiales; Comamonadaceae. The record is from RNAcentral.